GUGGGGAAUAUUGGACAAUGGGGGGAACCCUGAUCCAGCCAUGCCGCGUGUGUGAAGAAGGCCUUUUGGUUGUAAAGCACUUUAAGCGAGGAGGAGGCUACCGAGAUUAAUACUCUUGGAUAGUGGACGUUACUCGCAGAAUAAGCACCGGCUAACUCUGUGCCAGCAGCCGCGGUAAUACAGAGGGUGCAAGCGUUAAUCGGAUUUACUGGGCGUAAAGCGCGCGUAGGUGGCCAAUUAAGUCAAAUGCGAAAUCCACGAGCGUAGCUUGGGAAUUGCAUUCGAUACUGGUUGGCUAGAGUAUGGGAGAGGAUGGUAGAAUGCCAGGUGUAGCGGUGAAAUGCGUAGAGAUCUGGAGGAAUACCGAUGGCGAAGGCAGCCAUCUGGCCUAAUACUGACACUGAGGUGCGAAAGCAUGGGGAGCAAACAGGAUUAGAAACCCCAGUAGUCC
RNAcentral lists this ribosomal RNA (451 nucleotides) under uncultured bacterium. RNAcentral's name for it is "partial 16S ribosomal RNA". It matches the Rfam family "Bacterial small subunit ribosomal RNA", at positions 354 to 796 of the family's 1533-position model. The record is from RNAcentral.